RNAcentral lists this ribosomal RNA (460 nucleotides) under uncultured bacterium. RNAcentral's name for it is "partial 16S ribosomal RNA". It matches the Rfam family "Bacterial small subunit ribosomal RNA", at positions 338 to 795 of the family's 1533-position model. The record is from RNAcentral.
CCUACGGGAGGCUGCAGUGAGGAAUAUUGGUCAAUGGACGAGAGUCUGAACCAGCCAAGUAGCGUGAAGGAUGACUGCACUAUGGGUUGUAAACUUCUUUUAUAUGGGAAUAAAAUGUUCCACGUGUGGGAUUUUGUAUGUACCAUAUGAAUAAGGAUCGGCGAACUCCGUGCCAGCAGCCGCGGUAAUACGGAGGAUCCGAGCGUUAUCCGGAUUUAUUGGGUUUAAAGGGAGCGUAGGUGGUUGGUUAAGUCAGUUGUGAAAGUGUGUGGCUCAACCGUAAAAUUGCAGUUGAAACUGGCAGGCUUGAGUACAGUUGAGGUGGGCGGAAUGCGUGGUGUAGCGGUGAAAUGCUUAGAUAUCACGCAGAACUCCGAUUGCGAAGGCAGCUCACUGGACUGCAACUGACACUGAGGCUCGAAAGUGUGGGUAUCAAACAGGAUUAGAUACCCGGGUAGUC